This 1352-nucleotide ribosomal RNA is filed under the name metagenome. RNAcentral describes it as "bacterial LSU rRNA". It matches the Rfam family "Bacterial large subunit ribosomal RNA", at positions 1564 to 2925 of the family's 2925-position model. The record is from RNAcentral.
UGAAUACGAAAUGCUACGGCAUUGAAGUGAUCUAUGCCAUGCUUCCAAGAAAAUCUCGUCAUAUCUUAAAUAAUAAAUGCCUGUACCUUAAACCGACACAGGUAGGUAGGUAGAGUAUACCAAGGGGCGCGAGAUAACUCUCUCUAAGGAACUCGGCAAAAUAACCUCGUAACUUCGGAAGAAGAGGUACCCUUGAAAAAGGGUUGCAAUAACCAGACCCUGGCGACUGUUUACCAAAAACACAGGUCUCCGCUAAUUCGUAAGAUCAAGUAUGGAGGCUGACGCCUGCCCAGUGCCGGAAGGUUAAAGAAGUUGGUCAAUCUUCGGAUGAAGCUGGCGACUGAAGCCCCGGUGAACGGCGGCCGUAACGAUAACGGUCCUAAGGUAGCGAAGUUCCUUGUCGGGUAAGUUCCGACCCGCACGAAAGGCGUAACGAUCAGGGUGCUGUCUCGGAGAGAGACUCGGCGAAAUAGACAUGUCUGUGAAGAUGCGGACUACCUGCACCUGGACAGAAAGACCCUAUGAAGCUUUACUGUAUCUUGGAAUUGGGUUUGGGCCUUGUUUGCGCAGGAUAGGUGGGAGGCUGUGAAGAUAUUCUCGUGGGAAUAUUGGAGCCAACGGUGAGAUACCACUCUAGCGGCUAAAAUUCUAACUCUGAACCGUUAUCCGGUCAGAGAACAGUUUCAGGUGGGCAGUUUGACUGCGGCGGUCGCCUCCUAAAAGGUAACGGAGGCGCGCAAAGGUUCCCUCAGGCUGGUUGGACAUCAGUCGUAGAGUGUAAAGGCAUAAGGGAGCCUGACUGCGAGACCCACAAGUCGAGCAGAGACGAAAGUCGGCCUUAGUGAUCCGACGGUUCCACGUGGAAGGGCCGUCGCUCAACGGAUAAAAGUUACUCUAAGGAUAACAGGCUGAUCUCCCCCAAGAGUUCACAUCGACGGGGAGGUUUGGCACCUUGAUGUCGGCUCAUCGCAUCCUGGGGCGGUAGUACGUCCCAAGGGUUGGGCUGUUCGCCCAUGAAAGCGGUACGCGAGCUGGGUUCAGAACGUCGUGAGACAGUUCGGUCCAUAUCCGGUGCAGGCGUUAGAGCAUUGAAAGGAGUCCCCCUUAGUACGAGAGGACCGGGGGGAAUACACCGCUGGUGUACCAGUUAUCGUGCCAACGGUAAACGCUGGGUAGCCAUGUGUAGCGUGGAUAACUGCUGAAAGCAUCUAAGUAGGAAGCCCACCUUAAGAUGAGUGCUCUCACCGCUAUAAGCGGGUAAGGUCACGGUAAGAACAACCGUUAUAUAGGCAUUAAGUAUACAUGCAGUAAUGCAUUUAGCUGAGAUGUACCAACAGACCGAGGGCUUGAUC